AACACUGUUAACCUGCGGUACCUGCGGAGGGAUCAUUACUGUGACUUACUACUACACUGCGUGAGCGGAACGAAAACAACAACACCUAAAAUGUGGAAUAUAGCAUAUAGUCGACAAGAGAAAUCUACGAAAAAACAAACAAAACUUUCAACAAUGGAUCU
This 161-nucleotide unclassified non-coding RNA is filed under the name soil metagenome. RNAcentral's name for it is "partial contains 5.8S ribosomal RNA, internal transcribed spacer 2, and large subunit ribosomal RNA". The record is from RNAcentral.